GCCUUCGUGGUGUAAUGGUCAUCAUGUUGGGUUCGUUUGUCAAAGGUCCGUGGUUCGAGUCCCGGCGAAGGUG
This 73-nucleotide transfer RNA is filed under the name Stegodyphus mimosarum. It matches the Rfam family "tRNA". From Rfam's summary of the family: Transfer RNA (tRNA) molecules are approximately 80 nucleotides in length. Their secondary structure includes four short double-helical elements and three loops (D, anti-codon, and T loops). The record is from Rfam by way of RNAcentral. Lineage: Eukaryota; Metazoa; Arthropoda; Arachnida; Araneae; Eresidae.